Long non-coding RNA from Zingiber officinale, 927 nucleotides. RefSeq lists it as uncharacterized. NCBI's taxonomy places the organism in Eukaryota, Viridiplantae, Streptophyta, Magnoliopsida, Zingiberales, Zingiberaceae. The transcript is spliced from 5 exons. The record is from RefSeq and is a predicted model, not a curated record.
AGGUAGGGGCCGACAAGAUCCGAACAGCUAGAGGACGCCCACGACCACCAUGGCACGGUUGGUCGGCAACAUGAGGGAAUCCGAAGGAAGAGAGAACAACACCGAGAUCUCUGAUCUUGUGUAAAGGGGUCUCCUUCUUCUGAAGCAGAGAGAUCAAGUGCAGUACAAGAAUAACGAAGUAUGUCUGCCUGUUAAAACCCUAAAAUUGCAGGCAUAAAGGCUCUCCGUGCUUCAUUUUCUCCUUCUCGGCCUCUUCGCUCGCUGGGUUGAGGAUGGGGUUUGGGGUUAACCUCUCUAUAAAGCGCCGAAGCCUUUUCUUUUCCCCCGACUUUCUCCUCUGUUCUUCCUCUGCUUCUCGCGACUUCGGACUUCACGCGACCGAGACCGGCGAUUUCUUCUUCUCUCGGUGGCGCCGGCGAAGAGCGGACCUUGGAGCGUUGAGAGGAAGAGAGGUUAGUUACAGCCGAACCUUCUUUCUCCCCGAUCCCUUCCUCCCUUCUCUGAUCUCGGUGAACAACGGCGACGGAUCUCGAUCGGUGGAUUUCGCCGGCUGUCGGGAGGGAACCAAGGGCAUCGGCGUUGGAUCAGGCCAGCAUCGAUUGUUUGGAGGAGGUGGUUCUUUCUGGGAAGCAGAGACUGGUAUUUUGGUCCCGGCCACCACAGCUCUGUUGGAUCGAUCUCUUCUUCGUAUCAGUGAUCGUCUCCGGUGAUUGAAGGGUGCAGAGAGGAUGCGAUGUGCUUAUUUUAGAUACUGGAUUGGGAAGUGCAGAGAAUCAAGCAAGGGUCAAGGAGUUGCUUCAUGUGGAGGAAUCAAAACUAGAGGAGGAUGAGGGAAAUACCACUCCAGCAGUGAGAUGGGUUCGAGAUGAUAAAUAUGAUUGCAUCCGAUUAAAGCAUUGCAAGGUGAGCUAUAUUCACUGUGUAUCC